Pelobates cultripes (western spadefoot toad) is the source of this 234-nucleotide non-coding RNA. The record is from the annotation of a GenBank genome assembly. Lineage: Eukaryota; Metazoa; Chordata; Amphibia; Anura; Pelobatidae.
CUUUUAGGUAAGUAUCCUGCACUAUCUCCAGUUCUAACUAUGACCAGCAUCCUCUCUUUUCUCUAGCCUAUACUCAUUAGGUCGUUAUUAUAUGCUAAACCGCUUUCAAUUGUACAUUGGUUUAUUGUAUUCUAGGUGUGUCACUUACUCUACAUACCACACAGUUAAUUAUCAUAAGUUAGAGCUUGCACUUAAAUUGGAAGUCAGUUCACUGCAUUUACUUUGAUUUUUCUC